AGUAAAGUGGCGUACGGGUGAGUAACACGUGGAUCAUCUACCUCUUAGUGGGGAAUAACUUUGGGAAACCGAAGCUAAUACCGCAUAAGCCUGGAAAGGGAAAGCAGCAAUGCGCUGAGAGAGGAGUCCGCGGCCGAUUAGCUAGUUGGCAGGGUAAAAGCCUACCAAGGCAUUGAUCGGUAGCCGGCCCGAGAGGGCACACGGCCACAUUGGCACUGAAACACGGCCCAG
RNAcentral lists this ribosomal RNA (231 nucleotides) under uncultured bacterium. RNAcentral describes it as "partial 16S ribosomal RNA". It matches the Rfam family "Bacterial small subunit ribosomal RNA", at positions 89 to 334 of the family's 1533-position model. The record is from RNAcentral.